Rhinichthys klamathensis goyatoka is the source of this 309-nucleotide long non-coding RNA. RefSeq lists it as uncharacterized. NCBI's taxonomy places the organism in Eukaryota, Metazoa, Chordata, Actinopteri, Cypriniformes, Leuciscidae. The record is from RefSeq and is a predicted model, not a curated record. The transcript has 2 exons.
CUCAAAUUCUCUGAAUACAUUUCACUCAAUAUUAAAUAAUAUCCUGUUAUGUUUCCCCUAAGACCCUCCACUUUAACCAUGAGAAAAUUAUGUACCACGAUCUGUAUGACGAGCUCUACAAAGGAGGGAACUACAGAAGCCUGAAGUUGGUGAACCGCUUGUUUGGAGAAAGGACACUCAAUUUUAAAGAUGAUUUCCUUGACAUGUGUGAAGAGUGGUGUUACACAAACUUGAGGAAUGCUGACUUCAAGACAGAUCCUGAGGCUGCGAGAAAACGAAUCAACGACUGGGUGCAGAACAAGACUGAGA